ACAUGAUUACAACAUAGCGUUGAUGCACUCAAUCCCAUUAGAAAUUUAUAGUGAAGUAUGCUCGGGCUAGAGUAGUACUGGGAUGGUGAUUGCCCGGGAAUUGCUAGUAUUUUACAUGCC
Picea glauca (white spruce) is the source of this 120-nucleotide non-coding RNA. The record is from Rfam. NCBI's taxonomy places the organism in Eukaryota, Viridiplantae, Streptophyta, Pinopsida, Pinales, Pinaceae.